AGUGAACGCUGGCGGUAGGCCUAACACAUGCAAGUCGAACGGCGGCACAGUAAGAGCUUGCUCUUACGGGUGGCGAGUGGCGGACGGGUGAGGAAUACAUCGGAAUCUACUUUUUCGUGGGGGAUAACGUAGGGAAACUUACGCUAAUACCGCAUACGACCUACGGGUGAAAGCAGGGGAUCUUCGGACCUUGCGCGAUUGAAUGAGCCGAUGUCGGAUUAGCUAGUUGGCGGGGUAAAGGCCCACCAAGGCGACGAUCCGUAGCUGGUCUGAGAGGAUGAUCAGCCACACUGGAACUGAGACACGGUCCAGACUCCUACGGGAGGCAGCAGUGGGGAAUAUGGGAAAAGGGGCGCAAGCCUGAUCCAGCCAUACCGCGUGGGUGAAGAAGGCCUUCGGGUUGUAAAGCCCUUUUGUUGGGAAAGAAAAGCAGCAGGUUAAUACCCCGCUGUUCUGACGGGACCCAAAGAAUAAGCACCGGCUAACUGCGU
RNAcentral lists this ribosomal RNA (491 nucleotides) under uncultured bacterium. Its description in RNAcentral is "partial 16S ribosomal RNA". It matches the Rfam family "Bacterial small subunit ribosomal RNA", at positions 29 to 506 of the family's 1533-position model. The record is from RNAcentral.